GCAAGAGAUGUUUUGUUUAGCGGGAAUAUAACUUGAAUUAGAGAAAAGCAACCCAUCUGCAACCUCCUCUGCAUCAUCCGGAUCAUGAGCCUCUUCCGUUGGCCUCGUUCCUUUAACAUCCAAGGGAUUUUCAGGACUGGAGGCCCUAGUGCCCCUAUUGACCAAAAACUGGGGUGAGCAUAGACAGCUGAGUUUGGAGGAGAGGGCAUCAGCUGACAUGGGAGUACCUGCGGAGAUACUUUCUUCCCCCUUGCAAGGAUGUUCUUUCUCAUCGAGCUGAUUUGUUUUCUCCUGUGCACAUGCCUCUGUUGCAUGUUUCCAGCCCGUGCCCCCGCCAUCUUUCGGGCUGGGAGAGAGCUCUGGGUUCUCUGCUGAGCACAGGACUUCAACAGACGCAGAGCAGCAAAUCAUUCCGGAACAGUUUUUAGCGGAGAUUUGGUAAACAGCAGCGUCAUCUGGGGUACAGCUAGGAGGAAGAGAAUACACAGACAUGAUCCCUAUGCCAGAGAAACCACCUGCCCCGCAAGUACCAAGACAUGUGUGGAAAGAACAGAAAGGGAGAGAAGGAAAUAAGGUGGAGAGGCCAAAGGACCAGGUCAUUCCCCUGCUCCCCAGAAAACUCUCCCAACAAGAUUAAAAUUGCUGAAACAAACCCUGCAAUCUGACCGGACACCCUGAGGGCAGAGUUUGUGGGAGAGGAAGCUCAA
Non-coding RNA from Leptonychotes weddellii (Weddell seal), 707 nucleotides. The record is from RefSeq and is a predicted model, not a curated record. Lineage: Eukaryota; Metazoa; Chordata; Mammalia; Carnivora; Phocidae.